UUCGACGAGUCGAGUUGUUUGGGAAUGCAGCUCUAAAUGGGAGGUAAAUUUCUUCUAAAGCUAAAUACUGGCCAGAGACCGAUAGCGCACAAGUAGAGUGAUCGAAAGAUGAAAAGCACUUUGGAAAGAGAGUCAAAUAGCACGUGAAAUUGUUGAAAGGGAAGCGCUUGCAGCCAGACUUGCCUGUAGUUGCUCAUCCGGGCUUUUGCCCGGUGCACUCUUCUACAGGCAGGCCAGCAUCAGUUUGGGCGGUUGGAUAAAGGUCUCUGUCACGUUCCUCUCUUCGGGGAGGCCAUAUAGGGGAGACGACAUACAACCAGCCUGGACUGAGGUCCGCGCAUUUGCUAGGAUGCUGGCGUAAUGGCUGUAAGCGGCCCGUCUUGAAACACGGACCAAGGAGUCUAACAUCUAUGCGAGUGUUUGGGUGUCAAGCCCGAACGCGUAAUGAAAGUGAACGGAGGUGGGAACCCUUGGGUGCACCAUCGACCGAUCCUGAUGUCUUCGGAAGGAUUUGAGUAAGAGCAUGGCUGUUGGGACCCGAAAGAUGGUGAACUAUGCUUGAAUAGGGU
RNAcentral lists this ribosomal RNA (569 nucleotides) under Sphaerellopsis macroconidialis. RNAcentral's name for it is "partial large subunit ribosomal RNA". It matches the Rfam family "Eukaryotic large subunit ribosomal RNA", at positions 256 to 847 of the family's 3401-position model. The record is from RNAcentral. Lineage: Eukaryota; Fungi; Ascomycota; Dothideomycetes; Pleosporales; Leptosphaeriaceae.